Molecule: ribosomal RNA, 492 nt
Filed under: uncultured bacterium
Lineage: Bacteria
Description: partial 16S ribosomal RNA
Rfam family: Bacterial small subunit ribosomal RNA
Source: RNAcentral
AGCGAACGCUGGCGGUAGGCUUAACACAUGCAAGUCGAACGGCAGCACAGUAAGUGCUUGCUCUUACGGGUGGCGAGUCGCGGACGGGUGAGGAAUACAUCGUAAUCUACUUUUUCGUGGGGGAUAACGUAGGGAAACUUACGCUAAUACCGCAUACGACCUACGGUUGAAAGCAGGGGAUCGUCGCACCUUGCGCGAUUGAAUGAGCCGCUGUGGGAGUAGCUAGUUGGCGGGGUAAAGGCCCACCAAGGCGAGGAUCCGUGGCCGGUGUGAGUGGAUGAUCAGCGGCACUGGAACCGAGACACGGUCCAGAGUCCUACGGGAGGGAGCAGUGGGGAAUAUUGGACAAUGGGCGCAAGCCUGAUCCAGCCAUACGGCGUCGGUGAAGAAAGCCUUCGGGUUGUAAAGCCCUUUUGUUGGGAGAGAAAAGCAGCAGGUUAAUACCCAGCUGUUCUGACGGUACCGGGAAAAUAAGCACCGGCUAACUUCGUG